UAAGAUGAUAUUUUCUGACAACCCACUUGGUCUGACUUGUGGAAUGGUAUGUCCAACCUCUGAUCUUUGUGUAGGUGGAUGCAAUUUAUAUGCCACUGAAGAGGGACCCAUUAAUAUUGGUGGAUUGCAGCAAUUUGCUACUGAGACUUUGAUCCUGGCUUUCUCUUUAAUGAAUCAUUUGUAAAGACUGAUUCUCCGGACACUCUUGGGCUCUCUGACGUCUCCUAUUUGGAGGCAACUAGCAGGUAUUCAAAGCAAUGAGUAUCCCACAGAUCAGAAAUCCUUUCCUGCCUCCCCCAGAAAAAAUGUCUGAAGCCUAUUCUGCAAAGAUUGCUCUUUUUGGUGCUGGGCCUGCAAGUAUAAGUUGUGCUUCCUUUUUGGCUCGAUUGGGGUACUCUGACAUCACUAUAUUUGAAAAACAAGAAUAUGUUGGUGGUUUAAGUACUUCUGAAAUUCCUCAGUUCCGGCUGCCAUAUGAUGUAGUGAAUUUUGAGAUUGAGCUAAUGAAGGACCUUGGUGUAAAGGUAAAUGAAAAAAACACCUAUCUGUGUACUGCUCAAAAAAAAGGGAGUAAGCGCUACACUAAAGAUUAACAGCAAAUGUCACGCAUUUUAGGAAAGAACAAUUAAAAGCUACACCAGGCGGAAGCAGAAAGAUGCUUCCCCUUGCUUAGGGCAUUUGUCUGUCUACUGUCUGAAUGCCACUAGCCUGGAAAAGGGCAAUCAAUAGUUCUCAUCUGGCAUGCCUGCAUGUGAUUAAUUGUCUGUAAGAAACAAAUUCCUAAAUUGCUUUAGGGGUUCAGUGCAGCUAAUAGAAGGAUUUGGUUUCUUUAAUCACAUUUUUUCAUGCAAGUUGUGUGCACUCUGAAACAUUAGUAUUUCGCAAUUUGGAACAUUAUUUCUUACGGAGAUUUAUUUUAUUUACUAUAUUCAUCAUGUCAGUAGUGUGAAUGUGAUAAUCCUUUCUCAACACAAGCAGUAAAUCAGUGGGAUAGAAAGCAACAGCUUCGUAUUUUUUAUUAUUUUGUUAAAUAA
RNAcentral lists this small RNA (1034 nucleotides) under Pongo abelii (Sumatran orangutan). RNAcentral's name for it is "retained intron". Lineage: Eukaryota; Metazoa; Chordata; Mammalia; Primates; Hominidae. The record is from RNAcentral.